This 916-nucleotide ribosomal RNA is filed under the name uncultured marine bacterium. Its description in RNAcentral is "bacterial SSU rRNA". It matches the Rfam family "Bacterial small subunit ribosomal RNA", at positions 56 to 969 of the family's 1533-position model. The record is from RNAcentral.
UGCAGUCGUGCGAGAAAGAUCUUCGGAUAUGAGUAGAGCGGCGGACGGGUGACUAUCGCGUAGGAAUCUACCUAGUAGAAGGGGAUAGCCCGGGGAAACUCGGAUUAAUACCGUAUACCUCCUUCGGGAGAAAGAAGGCCUCUCUUUGAAGCUUUCGCUACUAGAUGAGCCUGCGUAAGAUUAGCUUGUUGGUGAGGUAAAGGCUCACCAAGGCGACGAUCUUUAGCGGGUCUGAGAGGACGAUCCGCCACAUUGGGACUGAGACACGGCCCAGACUCCUACGGGAGGCAGCAGUGGGGAAUAUUGGACAAUGGGCGCAAGCCUGAUCCAGCCAUACCGCGUGUGUGAAGAAGGCCCUAGGGUUGUAAAGCACCUUAAGUUGGGAAGAAAAGUUAUUGGUUAAUACCCAAUAGCCGUGACAUUACCAUCAGAAUAAGGACCGGCUAAUUCCGUGCCAGCAGCCGCGGUAAUACGGAAGGUCCAAGCGUUAAUCGGAAUUACUGGGCGUAAAGCGCGCGUAGGUGGUUUACUAAGUUGGAUGUGAAAUCCCCGGGCUCAACCUGGGAACUGCAUCCAAAACUGAUUCACUAGAGUACGAUAGAGGGAGGUAGAAUUCACAGUGUAGCGGUGGAAUGCGUAGAUAUUGUGAAGAAUACCAAUGGCGGAGGCAGCCUCCUGGAUCUGUACUGACACUGAGGUGCGAAAGCGUGGGUAGCGAACAGGAUUAGAUACCCUGGUAGUCCACGCCGUANACGAUGUCAACUAGCUGUUGGGGAACUAUGUUCUUCAGUGGCGCAGCUAACGUAGUAAGUUGACCGCCUGGGGAGUACGGCCGCAAGGCUAAAACUCAAAUGAAUUGACGGGGACCCCGCACAGCGGUGGAGCAUGUGGUUUAAUUCGAUGCAACGCGAAAAAC